GAUGAACGCUGGCGGCGUGCCUAAUACAUGCAAGUCGAGCGAACAGACGAGGAGCUUGCUCCUCUGACGUUAGCGGCGGACGGGUGAGUAACACGUGGAUAACCUACCUAUAAGACUGGGAUAACUUCGGGAAACCGGAGCUAAUACCGGAUAAUAUAUUGAACCGCAUGGUUCAAUAGUGAAAGACGGUUUUGCUGUCACUUAUAGAUGGAUCCGCGCCGCAUUAGCUAGUUGGUAAGGUAACGGCUUACCAAGGCAACGAUGCGUAGCCGACCUGAGAGGGUGAUCGGCCACACUGGAACUGAGACACGGUCCAGACUCCACCGGGAGGCAGCAGAAGGGAAUCUUCCGCAAUGGGCGAAAGCCUGACGGAGCAACGCCGCGUGAGUGAUGAAGGUCUUCGGAUCGUAAAACUCUGUUAUUAGGGAAGAACAAAUGUGUAAGUAACUAUGCACGUCUUGACGGUACCUAAUCAGAAAGCCACGGCUAACUACGUG
RNAcentral lists this ribosomal RNA (497 nucleotides) under uncultured bacterium. Its description in RNAcentral is "partial 16S ribosomal RNA". It matches the Rfam family "Bacterial small subunit ribosomal RNA", at positions 28 to 507 of the family's 1533-position model. The record is from RNAcentral.